Molecule: ribosomal RNA, 253 nt
Filed under: uncultured bacterium
Lineage: Bacteria
Description: partial 16S ribosomal RNA
Rfam family: Bacterial small subunit ribosomal RNA
Source: RNAcentral
UACGUAGGGGGCAAGCGUUGUCCGGAAUCAUUGGGCGUAAAUCGCGCGUAGGCGGCCCGGUAAGUCCGUUGUGAAAGUCAAAGGCUCAACCUUUGAACGCCGAUGGAUACUGCCGGGCUAGAGUCCGGAAGAGGCGAGUGGAAUUCCUGGUGUAGCGGUGGAAUGCGCAGAUAUCAGGAGGAACACCAAUAGCGAAGGCAGCUCGCUGGGACGGUACUGACGCUGAGGCGCGAAAGCCAGGGGAGCGAACGGG